GUUCUUUCCCAUGUUGCCUGUUGUUUCACAGAUCCUAAUAAUACAGGGACAUCUUCAAGUGUGGAAUCGAAAGAGGUAGAAGAAUGUCCUGAACCUGAUCAUGGUGAUGCUCCCACAACUCUCUACAUGGUAGGUUCUGAGGCAUCUUCAAAUCUGGAAUCGAAAGAGACGGAAGUGUGUCAUGGACAUGUUGAUGAGUAUGCUGAAAAUGUUGCAGCGGAUGCUCCUACUGUUGUAGGUUCUGGUACUGCUCUAAGAUGAUCCUUGGAUUCAAAAGAGACAGAAGAGUUAUGUGGGCACAAUGAUGGUUGUGCUGAACUUGAUGUGGGUAAUGCUCCCACAGCUUCCAUUACUGUAGGUUCUGAUGGUGAGCCAGUUUUGACUUUGAAUAUAAAAGGGAACGAAGACCGUCAAGG
Beta vulgaris subsp. vulgaris (sugar beet) is the source of this 416-nucleotide long non-coding RNA. RefSeq lists it as uncharacterized. The transcript has 4 exons. The record is from RefSeq and is a predicted model, not a curated record. Lineage: Eukaryota; Viridiplantae; Streptophyta; Magnoliopsida; Caryophyllales; Amaranthaceae.